Molecule: microRNA, 19 nt
Filed under: Ciona intestinalis (vase tunicate)
Lineage: Eukaryota; Metazoa; Chordata; Ascidiacea; Phlebobranchia; Cionidae
Description: cin-miR-4164-3p
Source: miRBase by way of RNAcentral
UCUUUGUUAUGUCAGCUGU